AUUGAACGCUGGCGGAAUGCUUUACACAUGCAAGUCGAACGGCAGCACGGGGGCAACCCUGGUGGCGAGUGGCGAACGGGUGAGUAAUACAUCGGAACGUGCCCAGUCGUGGGGGAUAACGUAGCGAAAGUUACGCUAAUACCGCAUACGAUCUACGGAUGAAAGCGGGGGACCGUAAGGCCUCGCGCGAUUGGAGCGGCCGAUGUCAGAUUAGGUAGUUGGUGAGGUAAAGGCUCACCAAGCCGACGAUCUGUAGCUGGUCUGAGAGGACGAACAACCAAACUGGGACUGAGACACGGCCCGGACUCCUACGGGAGGAAGCAGUGGGGAAUUUUGGACAAUGGGCGCAAGCCUGAUCCAGCCAUUCCGCGUGCAGGACGAAGGCCUUCGGGUUGUAAACUGCUUUUGUACGGAACGAAAAGGCUCUGGUUAAUACCUGGGGCUCAUGACGGUACCGUAAGAAUAAGCACCGGCUAACUACGUGCCAGCCGCCGCUGUAA
RNAcentral lists this ribosomal RNA (500 nucleotides) under uncultured bacterium. Its description in RNAcentral is "partial 16S ribosomal RNA". It matches the Rfam family "Bacterial small subunit ribosomal RNA", at positions 30 to 523 of the family's 1533-position model. The record is from RNAcentral.